AGGUAGCUGUCUAGGUAUUCUACCAAAUGAAAUGCAUCAUUUGCUUGCAAGCAUGAAAGAGAGAUGUCUUAUGUAUUUUAUGAUCUUUAUUAUGUCAUUUAAUUUUAUCAGAAUUCUUCUUUUUGCUAAAACAAUGCACUGUUGCAAAAAACAAAAUUACUAGCAGAUAAGAAGGAUGUUGAAGCUCUCAAAGAACUCUCACUUAUAGAGGUCGAUAAAUUUAUGUCCCUAUGGAGUGGUGGUAAGCCAUUUAGGGAUGAUUGUGAGCGGAGAAUUUUGACACACUCGAUAUUAGGCAGUUGAGCCGAGAUGGCAGGAUGAGUAACCCAGACGAAAAGCCUCUAGUGUUACUAGUUGAACUGUUAAUUAGUUAGUUAAUGGUUGUUAUUGUUGUUAAUUAAGGAUAGAUUAGUCUUUUCUCUCUUAAAUAAUUUUUCUACUUCUUUGUAUCUUGUAUAUAUCGACAGUGCUCAAGCUAAUAAAAUAGUGGCUCAUUUCCUUCUUCUCAAUUCUCUGUCUUUAUCCUUGCAUUGCUUGUAGAAGUUUCCUCCAUUAGAGCCCCUCAUUCAUCUCUGAAUUUUGGCAUGGUAUCAGAGCAACGUACCUGGAGUAAAGUGCGCUAGAUCUCUGAAUUUGUUCGUUUGUUCUAUCGAUUGAUUAAUUUGUUGAAGCUCGUCGAGUUUCAUUCAUGGCAGAAGCAGAUUCGUCGAUGUCGGAGAUGGAAACAAUCGAUCCCAAUCAUCUAUUAUACAUCGGACCGUCCAAUACUCCUAGCUCAGUCGUUGUACCCGUGAAACUCACAUGCUCCGAGAAUUAUGGACUCUAGAGUAGAUCGAUGAGAAUCGCACUCUUAGGGAAGAAGAAAUUAGGGUUCAUUACUGGGGAGAUGUAACAGAAGCACAUAUAAAGGAGAGUUGCUGGAGCAAUGGGAGACAUGCGAUGCCAUCGUUCUCUCAUGGAUUAUAAACAACGUAGCACCAGAGCUUUUAGGUGGAGUUGUGUAUGCAUUUGAUGCACAUCUAGUGUGGGAAGACCUGCAACAAAAGGUUCAAUAAGGUAAAUCGCGUUAGGAUUUUUCAAUUACAUCACGAAAUUGCCACAUUAUCUCAAGGAACUAGUUCUAUCUCAGUGUGUUUUUUAAAAUUUAAGGAAUUAUGGCAUGAAUAUGAUGUUUUGGUUCCAUUUCCUAAUUGCUGUGAGAAAUCAAAAGAACAUGCAAAGAAUUUACAUCAACAAAGAGUUAUGCAAUUCCUAUCUUGUUUGAAUGAGUCGUAUGAUCAAGCUAGAAGACAGAUUCUCAUGAAAACUAAUGCACCUAGUCCAAACCAAACUUAUCUCAUGAUAAUACAAGAUGAGAGUCAACAUAAUAUACGGGUAAAUGCUAUGACUUUUGAUGGUGUAGAACUAUUAGCUAUGCAAGCAGGAUGAGGAAGAGGAAGGAGACAAUACCUACAGUGUGAUUUCUGUUAUCUCAAGGGACACACUAAGGAGAAUUGUUAUAAGAUUGUUGGUUACCCAGCUGAUUUUUCCCCUAGAAGAAGAUAUGGUGAAGGAAUAAGAACUCAAGGUGACUGGCAAUAGAGUUCUGGUUAUGGAAAUCAAAAUAGUUGGAAUAGGAUGAACAAUGGUAAGUCUAGAUGAACAAUUUCAAUGCAGGUAAACAAAAUGGCAAUGGUGGCAAUACUGGCAAUGGUGGGAAUAUGGGUAACCCGGUUGGCUGGAGAAAAGAGCCCAUGGCUAUGAUUAACAAUGCAGGUGCACAUUCUAUACAGGAUAUGGGUGAUGGUCCCUCUGGAGCUGUUGAGCACAAGGGAUAUCAUUACUUCUGAAAUGAUCAAUACAAUCAGAUUUUGAACCUCUUGAACAAGGAAUCAAGUCUGAGUGCAAUGUGGCAAACAUGGCAAAUGCAGGAGCUGAAGUAGGUGAGGUUAAUUGUCUGAUGAGCAACCUCACACAAGAAUCACAUAAGAAGGAAUGGGUUGUAGAUUCAGGUGCUACCCAUUACAUUACUUCUGAUUUAGAAAUGUUAUCAGAUGUUAGGUGUACAAGAAAACUAAUAGGGAUAAAGUGCAUCUUCUAACUGGAGAAUAGGCAGAUAUUACUCACAUUGAAAGUGCAACCUUAUUAGACAAAAGAGAAAUCAAGGAUGUGCUUUAUGUUCCUAACUUCAAGUUUAAUUUGCUCUCAGUAGCAAAGCUAACAAAGGAACUAAAGUGUAUUGCAAAUUUCUUCCCUGAUUUCUGUGUAUAUCAGGAUCUUUGGAAUGGCAAGGUGAAAGGGAUUGGUAGAGAAAGAGGAGGCCUAUAUAUGCUUAGAGGAUUGCUCAACAGAACAAAAGCACUCAAUGCUGUGAACAAGACAAACAGAGAUACAAUUGAAGUUUGGCACAACAGACUGGGUCAUCCAUCUGCAUCAGUAAUGAAGCAUAUAGUAGGCUUAAACAAUAAGAACAGUAACAUGUUGCAUGCAAACUGUCUGAUAUGUCCAUUAGCAAAGCAAACUAUAUUGAAGUUUCCAUUUAGCAAUUCAAGAGUAAAAGUAGCAUUUCAUCUUGUACACAUGAAUUUGUGGGGACCAUAUAAGAUUGUUACCUUUGAUAAGAAACAAUAUUUCUUAACAAUUGUAGAUGAUUACUCUAGGUAUACAUUAGUACUUUUUUUGCAGCUAAAAUCUGAAGCAGUAGUGGCAAUAAAGAAUUUUAUUGCCAUGGUUCAAAAUCAGUUUGGAAUUGUGAUUAAAGUGAUAAGAUCAGACAAUGGAUCUGAAUUUUUAAUGCUCACUGUUCAGAGUUGCUGACAGGUCUUGGUAUAGUUCGCCAAAGUAGCUGCCCUUAUACUCCACAGUAGAAUGGAAUAGUGUAAAGGAGGCACAGGUAUAUACUUGACACUGCAAGGGUUUUGAAAAUUCAAGGAUCAAUUCCAAUCAGAUAUUGGGAGAUAUGUGUAAAAUCAGUAGUAUACUUGAUUAACAGGUUGCCAUCAAGUGUUCUAGGGGCAAAACUUCAUAUGAGUUGUUGCACCACAAGAAGGCUAAUAUCACACACUUAAGGAGCAUAGGGUUUUUGUGCUAUGCAACUAGUUUAGUCAAGGCAGACAAGUUUGCAGAUAGAGCCAAAUCAACCAUCCUUAUGGACUAUUCAAAGACACAAAAAGGUAUAUUUUGCUUGAUCUGGUCACAAGGCAGUUUUUUACAAGUAGAGAUGUUGUAUUCAUGGAAUCAGAGUUUCCUUUUUCAAAAAAUGAGGGAAACAAAUCAUAUGAUGUACAAGAUUCCAUGGAACAAGGAACAUUGCAGUUUACACCUCUACACACACAGCUAGCGGGAGAUAUGAAUCUACAUGGAAGAAGGGUGAUAUGAAAGAGAAUGUGUCAAUCUUGCAUGGGACAGAUACUAAUGAUAUGCAAGAUAUCUCUCAAGGAAUAUAUGACAUUAUUUUAUUGAUACAGGUAAACAAAAUGAUACCGUAGGUGCACAAAAUGAUGAACUUCAAGAAGAUGCUGAAAUUUUAAUCAACCAGCAGGAAGGUGAAGGUGAAGAAAUCUCAAGAUCAAGAAGAAAGUCUACAAGAGAAGUCAGAGAGCUAAUAUGGAUGAAGGAUUAUGUUACAACAAAGAAGACAAACAGCUGCACCUAUCCUAUUUCAGACUACCUAUCAUAUAAACAUACUAGUACAACCUAUCAAUGCUACUUGGCAAAAUUCUCUUAGUUAACAGAGCCACAAACAUUUAAGGAAGCAGUGAAGGACAACGAAUGGAUAGAAGCCAUGAAACAAGAAGUGAAGGCAUUAGAAGACAACAAGACAUGGAAAAUAGUGAGCUUACCAGAAGAGAAAAAUACCGUUGGAUCCAAAUGGGUGUAUAGGAUCAAAUUUAAGGCAAAUGGAGAAGUAGAAAGAUUUAAAGCAAGGUUGGUAGAUAAAGAAUAUAGUCAAACAGAAGGAUUGGACUACCAUCACACUUUUUCACUUGUGGCCAAAAUGGUCACAAUGAGAUCUGUUAUUGCACUAGCAGCAUCAACAGGUUGGAACCUAUUUCAGAUGGAUGUCUAUAAUGCUUUUUCUCAAGGAGAUUUGAUGGAAGAGGUGUAUAUGGAGUUACCUGAAGGUUUCAGAAGGCAAGGAGAGCAGAAGGUGUGUAAGCUACUCAAGUGCUUAUAUGGACUAAAGCAGGUAUUUCGACAGUGGAACAUCAAGUUAACUGAAGCCCUGCUAAAGGCAGGAUUCAAGCUGAGUCAUCAUGAUUACUCACUCUUCACUUUGAGAAGUCAAGAAGGGAUAGUGAUUAUUUUAGCAUGAUCUCCUCAUAACUGGGAGCAAUUCAACACUUGUGAAGAAGGCAAAAGAUAUAUUGCAUCAGAAUUUUAAGGUGAAUGAUCUAGGAGAACUAAAAUACUUCUUAGGUAUUGACGUUUGGAGAUCAAGAGAUGGAGAAUUGCUGAAUCAAAGAAAAUACAUACUAGAGUUAAUUUCAGAAAUGGGACUGAGUGGAGCCAAACUUGAAGCACACCAUUAGAAGUGAAUUCAAGAAUGAAAACAGUAGAUUAUGAUCAGGCAAAUGGAGCCACAUGAGAUCUACUUUUGCAGGAUGUCAAUUCCUACCAAAGACUAAUAGGAAGACUUCUCUAUGUUACUAUUACCAGACCAGAUAUCAACUAUGCAGUGCAAGCAUUAAGCUAAUUUAUGCAAGCAUCAAAGAAAUAUCACUGGGAUGCUGCCUUGAGGGUUGUAAGAUAUUUGAAAACUGCUCCUGGACAAGGGAUCUUAAUGAGGUCCGACAGUGCAGAAACUCUUACCUGUUGGUGUAACUCUGACUGGCAGCGUGUUUGAAUUCAAGGUCAGUUACUGGGUAUAUUAUUAGAUUUGGAGAGUCAGUGAUCUCUUGGAAGUCGAAGAAGCAACAAACUAUCUCUAGGAGCUCAGCAAAGGCAGAGUAUAAGAGUAUGGCAGCUAGCAUUGCUGAAGUGACAUGGUUGCUUGGUCUAUUCAAAGAGUAGGUGCUAACAUAAUACAACCAGUUACAAUUCUCAGUGACAGUAAAUUAGUAAUUCAAUUAGCAGCGAAUCCUGUGCUUCAUGAAAGAACCAAGCCCAUAGAGAUUGAUUGUCAUUUUAUUCGAGACAAAAUCAAGGAAGGAACAGUCAAGGCAGCACAUGUUUACACCAAGGAGCAACAAGCUGAUCUACUGACUAAAGCUCUGGGAACAACUCAACAUGUUCAUCUACUUGGCAAGCUUGGAGUGUUCAAUGUUUUGCACCCUCCAGCUUGGGGGGGCAUAUUGAGAGUCACGUGCAUUACAUGUGAAGGUUUCUAGUUAGUUGAGUUGUUAAUUAGUUAGUUAAUGGUUGUUAUGGUUGUUAAGUUAAGGGUAGAUUAGUCUUUUCUCUCUUAACUAAUUUUUCUCCUUCUUUGUAUCUUUUAUAUAUCGACAAUACUCAAGCUAAUAGAACAGUGGCUCAUUUCCUUCUUCUCAAUGCACUGUCUUUAUCCUUGCAUUGCUUCUAGAAAUUUCCUCUAUUAGAGCUCCUCAUUCAUCUCUGAAUUUUGGCACCAGUGGCGCAGGUUGUUUCACAGAUUGUGAUUGUUGAAAGAACUAAUGCGAGAGCAUUAAAGGAAGAAUCAGUACCUCCUACUCAGAAAAUACAGAAAUAGAAGAAUAGCAAGAAGCCAAAAGAAGCAAGUAGCAAGGUUACAAAAAGUAGCACAAAAAAGUACAUCUUUGAUAUUGAAGAGGAAAUCCAUGGUUUAGAAAAGCAACCCAAGGAUAUGAAUCCUAAGAGCAAGGAAGUUGAUGAGACAAAAUUGAGAGGAUGAAGAGAGAGGAGGAGAUAGCAAAAAAUAAGAAGGCAAUGGAGAGGAAGAAGAAGUUGGCCGAGAAAGCAACUGCCAAAGCAGUAAUAAAAUGUCAGAAAGAAGCUGAAAGGAAGUUCAAGGAAAAUAUCCUUUUAAUUCUAUCAUUUCUUUCUCGUUGUUUGUGUGUGUAGGAAUUUACAUUAACUCUGAACUUAUAUGUAUUAUCCUUACUCCUUUCAGGAAUGUGAGAAAAAGGUGAAAAAGAAAACUGGAGCAUCUGUUCCUACUGAGGAACCAACUGAAGCAGCUGUGGAAGUUGCUGAGGAAGAGAAGUGGAGGAACAGGUUAAAACAUCAGUUGCACCUAAGGUUAAGGCGCCGAAAUAGAAUACUAUCAAGAGUCGACCAAAGCGUGCAAAAGGAAUGGAUAGUCCUAAAACUAUACUGAAGCGCAAAAAGGCAAUGAACUAUUGGCUAUGGGCUGCUCUUGCUGCUCUUGUAGUUCCACCACUACUAAUAGCAUAUAAGUAUCUUGUCUAGAUAAUUAUGAAAGUCAAAAGUAGAGGGGGAGUAAAAGAGGGGAAAACUUGGUAUUGCUUACAAUUUUGUAUUAGCUAGUUGCAUUUUUGUAAUGUUAAGUCAUGCCUACUUCUUGCAUCCUUGACUAAGGAUGGAAAAGUCAUAAUGUUGCGGUCGAUAAGGCUUUCUCAGAUACUUACAGAAAAGAAUAUUUUAUGCAUGUUUGAUUUUGGUUGGUGUA
Long non-coding RNA from Nicotiana tabacum (common tobacco), 6547 nucleotides. RefSeq lists it as uncharacterized. The record is from RefSeq and is a predicted model, not a curated record. NCBI's taxonomy places the organism in Eukaryota, Viridiplantae, Streptophyta, Magnoliopsida, Solanales, Solanaceae.